GAAGGACGUGCUAAUCUGCGAUAAGCGUCGGUAAGGUGAUAUGAACCGUUAUAACCGGCGAUUUCCGAAUGGGGAAACCCAGUGUGAUUCGUCACACUAUCAUUAACUGAAUCCAUAGGUUAAUGAGGCGAACCGGGGGAACUGAAACAUCUAAGUACCCCGAGGAAAAGAAAUCAACCGAGAUUCCCCCAGUAGCGGCGAGCGAACGGGGAGCAGCCCAGAGCCUGAAUCAGUGUGUGUGUUAGUGGAAGCGUCUGGAAAGGCGCGCGAUACAGGGUGACAGCCCCGUACACAAAAAUGCACAUGCUGUGAGCUCGAUGAGUAGGGCGGGACACGUGGUAUCCUGUCUGAAUAUGGGGGGACCAUCCUCCAAGGCUAAAUACUCCUGACUGACCGAUAGUGAACCAGUACCGUGAGGGAAAGGCGAAAAGAACCCCGGCGAGGGGAGUGAAAAAGAACCUGAAACCGUGUACGUACAAGCAGUGGGAGCCUCUUUAUGGGGUGACUGCGUACCUUUUGUAUAAUGGGUCAGCGACUUAUAUUCUGUAGCAAGGUUAACCGAAUAGGGGAGCCGAAGGGAAACCGAGUCUUAACUGGGCGUUAAGUUGCAGGGUAUAGACCCGAAACCCGGUGAUCUAGCCAUGGGCAGGUUGAAGGUUGGGUAACACUAACUGGAGGACCGAACCGACUAAUGUUGAAAAAUUAGCGGAUGACUUGUGGCUGGGGGUGAAAGGCCAAUCAAACCGGGAGAUAGCUGGUUCUCCCCGAAAGCU
RNAcentral lists this ribosomal RNA (773 nucleotides) under Escherichia coli. RNAcentral describes it as "partial 23S ribosomal RNA". It matches the Rfam family "Bacterial large subunit ribosomal RNA", at positions 51 to 867 of the family's 2925-position model. The record is from RNAcentral. Lineage: Bacteria; Pseudomonadati; Pseudomonadota; Gammaproteobacteria; Enterobacterales; Enterobacteriaceae.